Molecule: non-coding RNA, 596 nt
Organism: Seriola aureovittata
Lineage: Eukaryota; Metazoa; Chordata; Actinopteri; Carangiformes; Carangidae
Source: the annotation of a RefSeq genome assembly
GAGCCACUGACACGCCGGCAGCACAAUGAUGAUGUCUCUGACUCUACUGCUGGCCACCCUGGGGCUCCUUGUUCAGGGUUCAUCAGGACAAAUCACUGUGACUCAGACUCCUGGAUCUCAGUCUGUUGUUCCAGGACAGACUGUCUCUAUCAGAUGUCAAACCAGUUCAAGUGUUGGUAGUUGGCUCCAUUGGUACCUUCAGAAACCUGGAGAAGCUCCUAAACUCCUGAUUUAUUCUGCUACAAACCGUCAGUCUGGAGUUCCAGGUCGUUUUAGUGGAAGUGGAUCAGGGACUGACUUCACUCUGACCAUCAGUGGAGUUCAGGCUGAAGAUUCAGGAGUUUACUACUGUCAGCAGAGUUACAGCUCGUUCACACAGUGAAAAAGCGUUGUACAAAAACCUCCCUCAGCUGCAGAGGAACUGAUCUGACUCAACAGCUGCACUGACACUAAAACACUAGAGGUUUGACUGCAACAUAUUCUCAUGCUGUGAAAAGUUUCAUCUGAGAGAAAAUCUGUAUUUGUUUCAUUUACUAUAAAACAUGAUGAAUAUUUUACUUAUUCCACACACACACACACACACACACACACACACA